UACGUAGGGUGCGAGCGUUAAUCGGAAUUACUGGGCGUAAAGCGUGCGCAGGCGGUCCGCAAAGUCUGAUGUGAAAGCCCCGGGCUCAACCUGGGAACUGCAUUGGAAACUAACGGGCUCGAGUGUGGCAGAGGGGGGUGGAAUUCCGCGUGUAGCAGUGAAAUGCGUAGAGAUGCGGAGGAACACCGAUGGCGAAGGCAGCCCCCUGGGCUAACACUGACGCUCAGGCACGAAAGCGUGGGGAGCAAACAGG
RNAcentral lists this ribosomal RNA (253 nucleotides) under uncultured bacterium. Its description in RNAcentral is "partial 16S ribosomal RNA". It matches the Rfam family "Bacterial small subunit ribosomal RNA", at positions 524 to 776 of the family's 1533-position model. The record is from RNAcentral.